This 31888-nucleotide long non-coding RNA is filed under the name Triticum aestivum (bread wheat). RNAcentral describes it as "long non-coding RNA (TAES_LNC022735)". The record is from RNAcentral. Lineage: Eukaryota; Viridiplantae; Streptophyta; Magnoliopsida; Poales; Poaceae.
CUAUUUGGCGGGGCCUCUGCCUGCCUGUUGGCUCGAGAGUGUAACUCUGAGCUUUUCAGAGAGAGCUAAGCUUCAGUCGAUUAUUGACGUCGAGAGUGUAACUCUGAGCUUUUCAGAGAGAGCUAAGCUUCAGUCGAUUAUUGACGUCGAGAGUGUAACUCUGAGCUUUUCAGAGAGAGCUAAGCUUCAGUCGAUUAUUGACGGUUGAACCAAGUGAGGCUGUGAAUUGUCGUUGUUUGCAUCGAUCAAUAAAACCCUGUACGAAUUGCAAAAGUGAAAACUGCAAAAGUGCAAACUAUGGUCUCCCCUUCCCCGCAAGGCCGCAACUCAAGACGGCAAUCCUUUUUUCUUUUCCUUUUUUCAGCCAAUUAUUAUUCUUAGAGCAACUAGUGGUCAAGUGGGCAGCCCACCAUAUUUUUGAAGGGUGCACGCAAGCAAAUCACCGUUAUUUGCAAUCAUAUGAAGUGUUGACGUGUUGUGCUUACCUUUUCAGUGGUCAUCCAUCCUCAAAUUGCUCCAGAUUAAGAACGCUUAAUUUUAAGAUUUCUUUUGGAUGAGCUCAUGAAAAAAAAGAUGCAGCUUGUUGAUAUAGGUGGUCUAUCAUUUCUAUUAAGCCGGGAUGUCACAUCCACCAUUAAAUCCAUCUACACAUAAUGUGAAUUCUAUGUCAUUUAUGAGCCGCUAAACAAAAUAUACAAGAAAAGUUUGGAGAAAUUUACCUCCAGGCAAGCUCCUGAACACCUUGAGGGCGCGCGGUCGGAGGGAUGGCGUGGCCGGACUACUGGAAGAAGUUUGCAAAGCUGCGAGGAAGCAUGGGAAGCCCAGCGACGUCUCAAUGGUGGUGAAUGGGGAUAAAUCACGGCGGUUCAGGCGAUAGACUGGCACCAAACAAUCACGGCGUGGGGAUGUGGGCGGUGAGGAAAGGGAGCCCACAUUCUGAAUGUCUGUGGCGCCAAUUUUUAGGUGGAUGGAGUGCGCACGUCUUGCCCAAUCUUCAACUAUGGAGGCUCGUGAGCUGGAUUUGGAGCACCCACCAAAAAUGAUAGAGGACAGGAUGAAACUUUGCUAGAUGGGCCUUUAUGGAAGAACUUGGCAUAAUGGCAGUUUUUAUGAAGACCAGGCCGAUACGAAGGCUUUGCUAGAGUUGCUCUUACCUCACAUCCCCUCGAUGGUGGGAGGUGGCGGCGAUAGAACAAGGUUCUGAACGGGGAUAUAGGUGGCGGUCAAAUCAGGAAUGGACGGAGACACGUGUGGGGCUAGUAUUGUUAGAGAUAUAUUUGGUUUACAUGUAUUUGUGUAUUUGGUAGUCUAGGAUAGUCCUGGCCAUGGGAAGCCCGGCCCGACCGGCCCGGCCUGAAAAAGCCCGACCCGGCCCGGCCCGACGCUGCCCCCGGGCCUAGUUUUUGAGCCCAAAGGCCGGGCCGGGCCGGGCCCGGGCCCGUCGUUUUUGCCAUUUUUGAAGGUCUGGCCGGGCCGGCCCGAAGCCCGACGGGCUUUUACGUGCUCGGGCCGGGCUCGGGCCCAGAAACACAGGCCCGAUGGCCGGGCCGGGCCGGGCCCGGGCCUGAGUUUUUUGUGUCGGGCUUGGCUAGGCCCGGCCCGAGGUUUGGCCAGGUAUAGUCUAGGAUUUGUAAUCCGUCUCCUAUCUUGUCUCUAGAAGAGGCUUCUUAUUCUCCAAGUCUGUACUUCUAUAUAUACUCGUCAGUGAGCCUCAAUACAACAUCCAUCAUAUUCCGUCAAUCUUCUCUCUAUUCCCUUCUAACUAGUAUGACUCUAGGCAUGACAUGAUAUAUCGGCACCCGUGGUGACAACGUGAGGUGGCGGGCGACGCCAAAAUGCCAAAAUGUGUAUUGAUAAUUAAAUUUUAUGAUGCUACAGUGGUUCCCAACAAUUAAGAGGGGAAGCUUUUUAACGGGUUACUCUAAAAAGAAUCCACAAUAACAACACAUUUUACACUAACCAACACCCUCGCUCGAAAGGGCGAUGUACGCUGGUCACCACAACCAAAUAUCGUCAGAUCGGAUGCCCAACGAGACAUAGGGGCCAACUCCCUCCAGGCGCACCCGAUUGAAGCAUCAUCAAGAUGGGGGAGAAGCAAGAUCAUCUUAUUCCGACCCCCCCCCCCUAUGGAGGCUCGCGAGCUGGAUUUGGAGCACCCACCAAAAAUGAUAGAGGACGGGAUGAAACUCUGCUAGAUGGGCCUUUAUGGAAGAACUUGGCAUAAUGGCAGUUUUUAUGAAGACCAGGCCGAUACGAAGGCUUUGCUAGAGUUGCUCUUACCUCACAUCCCCUCGAUGGUGGGAUGUGGCGGCGAUAGAACAAGGUUCUGAACGGGGAUAUAGGUGGCGGUCAAAUCAGGAAUGGACGGAGACACGUGUGGGGCUAGUAUUGUUAGAGAUAUAUUUGGUUUACAUGUAUUUGUGUAUUUGGUAGUCUAGGAUAGUCCUGGCCAUGGGAAGCCCGGCCCGGCCGGCCCGGCCCGAAAAAGCCCGACCAGGCCCGGCCCGACGCUGCCCCCGGGCCGGGCUCGGGCCUAGUUUUUGAGCCCAAAGGCCGGGCCGGGCCGGGCCUGGGCCCGUCGUUUUUGCCAUUUUCUGAAGGUCGGGCCGGGCCGGCCCGAAGCCCGACGGGCUUUUACAUGCUUGGGCCGGGCUCGGGCCCAGAAACACAGGCCCGAUGGCCGGGCCGGGCCGGGCACAGGCCUGAGUUUUUUGUGUCGGGCUUGGCUAGGCCCGGCCCGAGGUUUGGCCAGGUAUAGUCUAGGAUUUGUAAUCCGUCUCCUAUCUUGUCUCUAGAAGAGGCUUCUUAUCCUCCAAGUCUGUACUUCUAUAUAUACUCGUCCGUGAGCCUCAAUACAACAUCCAUCAUAUUCCGUCAAUCUUCUCUCUAUUCCCUUCUAGCUAGUAUGACUCUAGGCAUGACAGGAUAUAUCGGCGCUCGUGGUGACAACGUGAGGUGGCGGGCGACGCCAAAAUGCCAAAAUAUGUAUUGAUAAUUAAAUUUUAUGAUGCUACAGUGGUUCCCAACAAUUAAGAGGGGAAGCUUUUUAAUGGGUUACUCUAAAAAGAAUCCACAAUAACAACACAUUUUACACCAACCAACACCCUCGCUCGAAAGGGCGAUGUACGCUGGUCACCACAACCAAAUAUCGUCAGAUCGGAUGCCCAACAAGACAUAGGGGCCAACUCCCUCCAGGCGCACCCGACUGAAGCAUCAUCAAGAUGGGGGAGAAGCAAGNNNNNNNNNNNNNNNNNNNNNNNNNNNNNNNNNNNNNNNNNNNNNNNNNNNNNNNNNNNNNNNNNNNNNNNNNNNNNNNNNNNNNNNNNNNNNNNNNNNNNNNNNNNNNNNNNNNNNNNNNNNNNNNNNNNNNNNNNNNNNNNNNNNNNNNNNNNNNNNNNNNNNNNNNNNNNNNNNNNNNNNNNNNNNNNNNNNNNNNNNNNNNNNNNNNNNNNNNNNNNNNNNNNNNNNNNNNNNNNNNNNNNNNNNNNNNNNNNNNNNNNNNNNNNNNNNNNNNNNNNNNNNNNNNNNNNNNNNNNNNNNNNNNNNNNNNNNNNNNNNNNNNNNNNNNNNNNNNNNNNNNNNNNNNNNNNCAAGGAAGACCAGGCCUAACCUAAAUACUCGUUGGAGCGAAAUUGCCGUGGUCCCCGGCCUCUCUCGCCGCCGGAGUGGCAGGCGAAGGAUCUUGACAAGUUGAAGAUUAAGGAGGAAGAGAAGUGCGGUUCAAAUAGUAUGGCAAAGUAGAAUGUAUUCUUUUCAUCAAUAGGAAAGUAUUGGUCUGAUUUUGGUUAGGAGUUUCAGCUGCAGGGCAGAAUGUUUCCGUUGCAAGAUUUUGUUUUUUCAUAUAUUCCAAUAAGAAAAACAAAAUUCAGUGAUUCUUUUUCCUCUCUCCCUGAUGCGCACCUCAUCCAAAACUACCGCACUUCCGCCGCCGCACGGCGAUGCUCUCCUCGUCGCUCGCCUUCUCACCCCACCGCCUAGCCCCUUCCCCCGCCGCUGUUCGCCGGAGCACAUCUUCCACCAUCACGAUGCGGGACCGGGGCAAGAACCGGAAGCCGAUGCAGCGGGGGCGCUACCUCAGCACCGAGGCCAUCCAGGCCGUCCAGUCGCUCAAGCGCGCCACCCUCUCUGGAGCACCCGCCGGCGGCGCCGUCGUGACGGACCCCAAGCUGCGGCGGCUGCUGAAGGCCGACAUGGUCGCCGUCUUCCGCGAGCUCGCGGCGCAGGGCGAGGCCCACCUGGCACUCAAGGUACAACCGUAUUUGUGUGUGCACUACUGGGAGCAGAGUGUAUUGAGCUAGGAUUCAUAGUUCACAUUUGUUGAUUAGCCCUGCUGUGUACUCACAGUUGCUGAUUAUGAAGCCUUCCUGGACAUUAGGGUGGAUGGGCUCGUUUUUCUGGCCUGAUCCACCAAUUUGCACUAAUUUAUCACUACAGGAAAUGUUAGAAUAAAUCCGAGGCAUACCGUCGAUCAUCCGAGGACCAAGCAAUCACACGAGCACGACACCAAAAUUUGUUAACGAGGUUCACCGAUAUGGCUACAUCCCCGGGCCUGACUACGGGCGCUCCUCCCCGUGACACCGCUACAAUACCGCACCCGGUCACCCUGGAUCCGGCACAUGCCACCGGCUUCCCCUGCGUUUCGGUGCUAUUAUGUUGGCAUAGGUUACAUCGUGUGUCUACCCUCGCUAUAUAAGAGAGGCCUAGGAUACAAGUGUCCUACUAGGACACGACUCCACAUCCUAUGUAAACACGAUACAACUACAAGUCCAACUGUAACCUACCUUGUACACUAUAUAUAUUCGACACAACUCUAACAAACUCCACCUUGGCGAAUAUUCUCCACCACCUUGAAUUUGUCCAUGCGUCAAAUUUUCAUGUACAUUGGACUUGAGCUUAUCCCAUGAGUACCGCUGCUACUCCAAAGACUCCAUAUGACUCCACCUGCAACUUGUAGUCCCUUCUUUUCUUGACCACAGUCAACCCUCGAGCAAAAUUAAGUUCCUUGUUACUCUAGCUUGUGCUCCCAACUUCCAGAGUGUCCGUCCAACGCCAUCACACACCGAUCACUGACCUGCGUGAAAGUGAACAACUCACAUAUUGGGUGUCACACAUAAGAGUUACCUGAACUCAACAUCACCGCUCUUUCUUGACCGUCCUGUCUGAAACUUGAAGGAAUUUCACCAUUGCUUGUAGUCAUCCCAAGUCAAAUUCGCAGUUGUCUCACCACAUGUAUGACCACCAGAGCCCUAGCCGUCUCCAUGUCCCGUGCAUACCGCAUGCCUCGCUACUAUUACCGCGUCGAGCCUCCGUUGUCCCGGUCGAGUCUCAAGGGUCGCGAACCCACACCACUCAACCCCCAAGUACCACCGAUCAUCACCGACCGAUGACGAGUUUCACGCUUCCAUCAAACCACUGGGCUCCAGUCCGAAUUGCGCGCCUCUCGCUUUUUUUCCCGCUGAAUAGGCUUCGACUCUCUGUCGACUUAUGCCGUAGCCCCUCAAUCAGCACAGAGUGAAGUCUUCCAGACUCCAGCUCCACCUUCAACAUGACUCCAUGGUAGAUGAUCAGUCCACCCCUGCGCCUCAUCGACUUCAAGCUCCGUGUAUACACCACCUUGAAUCAAUCCCGCGCCAUAGUCUUGUUGAAGCCACACAAGCACUCAUGCCUGUGCCACGUGUUUCCACGCCCAGAAGUCGGUCACCAUCAGCAGCACGCUCCUAUGUCGUCGUCGCUGAUCCCGCACCAUCUUCUGUUCCAACCGACUUACGUCGAUCCAUCAGACUGACAAGUCUGACCCAGCCGAACUUAUCCGACUGCAAUCAUGCUCCACCCUGCGUCAUGUCUGCCCAGCACUUCUUCAUGCAUUGCUUGACGCCCUGUAUUUGCAUGAUCCGCACGACGCGCUCCAAGCUCCUCCGAACCUUAUACGCACGUCGCCAACCUGCCAAACUCCUGAUAAAACCCGUGCACAAUUAGCAACACUUCAAAAAGAAUAUUUUUUUUACUUUUCUCGUAGUCUUCAUGGAUGCAAAGCCUUUGCUUCCCAUAACCUCCAAAGCUUCCUUUCUUAAAUCCUGUUGCAAUCCCAAGCCACGUUCAUACCACAUGCAGGUUGCCUUUUCCUUUUAACAAAUCUGUUUGCUGAGCGCUACCCUGCCUUCCAAUCGAACGCAACACACCUCCAGCUUCCACGCUUGCCUGGCCCAUCCAGCACACAGCCUCCACACGGCCCAGCAUGCGACACGUUGCCGCUGUUCAGCCUUGGCCCAAGCGCCUCGCCGUCACGCUGCUGUGUGCUGCCAAAUCACGUGCGGACUCGAUCUGAUCGAUCGACCAGCCGCCGCUGCCGCACGAUAGGUCUCCCGCUGGCUGCUGCUGUGUAUCACCAAUUCGAUCUCGCCGAGUGCUUCGCUCCGCCGCCGCUUGCCAAUCCGACUGCUUUUUUUUUUCCGAUCACACGACGUCUCCAGAUCAAUUCCGUCCGCUGCGACACGCUGACGAUGAUCAUGACAUCGAAUCUUCCUCCUCUAGAUCAAACACAACCGCGACCUCAUCGUAACCUUGCUCAUGAUACCACUUGUUAGAAUAAAUCCGAGGCAUACCGUCGAUCAUCCGAGGACCAAGCAAUCACACGAGCACGACACCAAGAUUUGUUAACGAGGUUCACCGAUAUGGCUACAUCCCCGGGGCCUGACUACGGGCGCUCCUCCCCGUGACACCGCUACAAUACCGCACCCGGUCGCCCUGGAUCCGGCACAUGCCGCCGGCUUCCCCUGCGUUCCGGUGCUAUUAUGUUGGCAUAUGUUACAUCGUGUGUCUACCCUUGCUAUAUAAGAGAGGCCUAGGAUACAAGUGUCCUACUAGGACACGACUCCACAUCCUAUAUAAAUACGAUACAACUAUAAGUCCAACUGUAAUCUACCUUGUACACUAUAUAUAUUCGACACAACUCUAACAGGAAACCUAGGCUAUUAAUGAACUGUCUGUUCAGAUCAUCUGCCAUCGUUUGGAAACAGCUCUGGCCACUUAUGAGUCACAGCUCUCUAAAUUGUUCCUGCUUUGUUCUGAACCAAGGUUAUCUCAUUAUAUGGCUGUAGUAGGUGAGCCAUAGAUGACAUUUCCUAAGCAUACCAGCAGGAAUGAAUCUGUGAAGUGAUGAAUGUGGGUAUAGUUCCUUAUCAUUCUUGCAACAGGAACCUUAAAUAGCAAGUUCGUUUUAGUCUACAUUAAGAAUGAUGUACGCGCAAAAUUUACAUGAGUGAUAAAUUUUACUCGAGCAACCGCCAACCAGCAGGAGAUGGUGGUCAUCCUUUUAGACGGAACAUGCUGAAACACCAUAAAACACGCUAACUACUGAUAUUGCAGCCCACACAAGGCGCUCGUGCUGUGAGCCUGCUGGUGCUGGUCAUGAAUACUGAUCAUCCAUUGGCAGUAAACGGGGAUGCCGAGAUUUAGUCUGUUCUUGUUGCCCUUUAACCAUUAUGAGUUUCGUAAAUGCUUCCUUUUGGAGUAUUUGCAUGGCAAUUUACUUUGUAUUCAUCAGUACAGUUUCUACCAUAGUAUUAUUACCUGCAUUUGGAUUAAUAGAUGAUGCUGGCAAGCAGAUACUUCUUGACUGGAACUUAGAAAUGCACACUAAGAUGCCUCUUGUUUUGUCACCUAUGUCAGGUCUUUGAGGAGAUUCGAAAGGAGCACUGGUACAAGCCUAGGUUGUUCUGGUAUGUUGAUCUUAUUACAGUGCUUGCUAGCAAAGGAUUGAGGUCCGAGGUUGGCAAAGCCUGUUCGUAUCUGAAGAGGGAGCAAUUGGAACCCGACACGGAUGGUUUCAAUCUGCUUCUGAAGACACUCUUAGAUGCUGAGUUCACACAAUUAACAAUGGACUGCUUCCGUCUUAUGAAACUAUGGGACACGGAACCUGACAGGACAACAUAUAUAAAACUGGUCAAGGGUCUUGAAUCCCUAGGAGAGAUGGAUCUAUCUGCUAAGAUGAGGUUGGAAGCAGAAAGUGACUAUGGUGACCUUUGGGACUUAUUUGACGAAGAGGAGACGAUUGAGGCUUGAGCAGUUCGUUGUUAACAGGAUGUUGUAUGGCCAUGCUGGAAGGGAAUCAUUUCUAAAGUUUUUUAUGCAGUGUUAGAACAGAUGAAUGGAAGUCCAUGAUCUUGGAGGCAGUAGAAUUUUUGUGCAACAAGUAGUGAUUAGUUACUAGUACCAUUAUCUACCCGAGAUUUAUAAAUAGUAAAGAAGGGCUACCUCCAGGCUGCAGCUUCAUCAGUUCAUGUUUUUCUCUUGGGAGUGUAACUUGCUAGUGUUUCCUUUGAGAAUAUCUCUGUGUAUAAUCAAUCGCAUUGUUGCUUCUGGAUGUAUAGUCAAACUGACGUGCACAAUCAAAUUACUGAUAUCUUUUCAUGAUUUCAUUUCAGUAUGAAUGGCUAUGUGUACUUGCUUGCGAAAAUGUAGGCACCAUCUGCCUUACAGAAAGAUAAGAUGUCUUACAGCUAUCUGGCAGAUUAACAGAGAGCGAAACUUCCUCCUCCUCUGGCGCUCCCGCGGGCGGCAGGGGAGGAACCCUAGCCGCCGGCCGCCUCUCCACCUCUCUUCUCCUCCUCCCCCUCCUGCCGCCGCCAGAGGGCGCGCCCGGGCGAAGCCCGGCCGGCGCCGGCGGCGGCGGGGCGUCUUCAUCGCCUCAUUCGGGAGGGCUGGCGCGGGCCGGCUGACCUGGAUCUGGUCACGGCGUUCUCGCGGGGCGCCGCGGCGCGGCCCCUCAUCGGCGCAGGAGCGCGCGGGUGUGCGUGUGGCGUGAUGGGCUGCUCCUCGGUGGUGCUCGGCUGGUGUGGUGACGGCGGCGGCUCGAUCCAGGUCCGGUUGGGGCGGGCUGCGGGCGGUGCGGGCUGCGGGCGGAUUCCUCCGCCGUGGCUGGCGGAGGGGUCGGCGCAACAGUGGCGGCCUCGGCCUCGGCUUUCCCCUCCUCUUCUUCAUCCGGGGGGGAGGAGGUGGGAUGGGCCGGGGGUCGGGGAUGGCUGCCGGCGCCCCAGCCAAAGCUGACCUCGCGGCGGCAACGCUUUGGGGUCGGCCGACAGAUUGUGGUUCCGGUGGUGCGUGCCCGGCGGUUUGGCGACCCGUGCACGAGGGAUGGAGGUCUUCGAUCAAAUCCGGGUGAAAACCUGCUAUUGGCGAUUGCGAAGGCCGGCGAUGGCGACGCUGUCUGCGUCGUUCCCGUCCUGAAGGCAUCGUCGUGGAGAAGUUCAAGGCCACUCUCUGCUACCUCCGGGGGAAACCCUAGAUCAGUAGAUCGGAUGACGGCGGCUCUCUAGUGUCGUUUCCCCCCUGGGGCGUCAUUCUUGGAGGUGCACACGGGCUCGAGGGACUAGAGGACGGUGACUUUGGUGGAGCGGUGCUUCAUCUUGCACUUUGAUGGUGACGGAUCUCGGCGGCGUGGCGCUGUCGAGACUCGGCGUCUGAUGCGCGGAGAUGGACUCGUGCAGGAGGUGGUAGCUGUCUGGCGUCAUGGUGGCGUUGAUGGCAGAUAGGCCUGGCAAGGUCGGUGCAACAGUACAGCUCUGAAGAUGGAUUGGUGGCAGGCGGCUGCGGCGGCCUCAUACCCGGCAGGGGUCCUGGUUGAGAAGCACGCCGGACUGGUGGGUGCCCAUACCAGGCAGGCGUCCUGGGUGGGACCUCAAGUCUUUAGAUGUUUAGGUUUGGCUGCGUGGUCUGUUUGGUAUUAGGCCCAGGCUUUCAGCGCCCCUACAUCAACUGGAUAGGGAUAGCGACAGUUGUCGCUGGUUUUGGUGGCUUUAGACUUAUUGUUGUAUGACUCUGUACGGUCUUGUGUCAAUAAUUAAUAAUAUGGCCGUAUGCAUCGCCCAGAUGCAGAGGCCGGGGGUCGUCCUCCUUUUCUAAAAAAAACAGCUAUCUGGUAAACUUAACAGUUCAUCUGUUUUUGCCAAUUGCAGCAAUCAAUAUCAGUACAAUGUCAGUACGAGAUGAUCAAAAUGUCAUCAUAUGCAAAGAACAAGCGGCAACAUUCCUACCAACUCUCACCUGUACAAGUUUCUCUUCACUUUCAGAGAGUAAUGCAGUUGCCAACAAAAAUCCUUGCAAGGCAAAUCAAGAGCUUCGUGAACGUUUGCUGGCUGCAACGGAGAUCACUGAAGAAACAGCCGGGUGAUCAAACGAGACCUCUGCUACAACGAGCCCGGGGCGUGAGCGGCUAGUUGUUCAGAUCAAUGUCGAAAACAAUCCUGGGCGCAUCCGAGCGUGAACUAGAUCCGGCGCCCUCCCUCGCCUGGUUCUCCGCGUCGCUCGAGCGGGCAGGCGGCGGCGGCGGAGCGACCACCGGCUUCGUGAACACCUUGUAGACCACCAGGUCCAUGUUGGCACCGGUCGGGCCGGCUGUCGCGCCGCGGAAGGCGGCCGCGCCCUUGUGGAGCGCGUACUCCUUCAUCAGCCACCGCGUCUGCUCCCACGUCACCUUGCCGCCGCCGUCGUCCGCCCGCGCCGCGCGGAACGCGAACCUGCGGUGGCGGGCGUACACCUCCCCGCGGAACUCGUACCCCUUCGCGUCGCCGUACUGCAUCCACCACCCGCCGGGCGCCCGCCGCAUGCUGCUGGCGGGCUUCGCCGCGAAGAAGUAGCCCCACGCCUCCCCGUCCUGCUUCCUGUGGCUGGGCGGGAAGGGGAGCGCGUCCGGGCUCGCCGCGAAGAUGUCCACGCCCUCCGCGACGAAGCCCGGGGCGGCGCGGUCAGCGAUCUUGCCAGUGGUCGCCUUGGGGCCGAGGUACUCGACGAUGAUCUGGCGGCCGCUGGGUACCUUGUAGCUGUAGUUGUACUCCCCGCCGACGCGCGUCCACGACAUGGCAUUGUCGUUGAGGUUGCCAGCGUCCUCGUUUACGCCGGAGUGCGCAGGCGUCGCGGGGAUCACCGGCUUCGCGAUGACCUUAGGUGGUCGGUCCGAGCGCGGCGGAAGGGGGCUUCCUCCUGGCCGGAGCGUCUCGCCACGGCAGGCACACGGCAGUAGCGGUGGAGCGCCCCCUCGGGCCUUGACGAACGCCGCCCGGGUUGGUUGGGCUUGGCGCGACGGAACGCUGCCUCCUACCCGCCGGACCACCAAGCCGGAGCGGGCAGGCGGCGGCACGGGAACCGCCGGCUUGGUGAAGACCUUGCGGACCACGAAAUCCAUGUUGGCGUUGGGGUGCUCGGGCAGCUUGCUGCGGAAGACGGCCGCAUCCUUGUCGAGGCGGUACUCCUUCAUCAGCCACCGCGUCGGCGUCCACACCACCCGAGCCCGCUCCGCCCGCGUGACGUAGAACGCGUACCUGCUCCGGUAGCCGAGCGCCUCCCCCUUGAGGUCGUACCGCUUCUCGGCGCCGUGCCGCACCCAGCACCCGCCCGGCGCAGGCUGGGCGCUGUCGGCGGUCGGGGCCGCGGCGGCGAAGUAACCCCACACCUCCCCGUGCGGCCCCCUGUGGCUCGCCUGGAAGGGGAGCGCGCUGGGGCUCGCGGCGAAGACGUCCACGCCCGCCGUGACGACGCAGCCGCCGGGGAUGACGACGGCGUCGGGGAGCUCGCCGCGGAGCGCGUUGCGGCCGAGGUACAACGUGAUGAGCUGGCGGCCGCUGGGCCUGAACACCGUUCCUGGCCGCAGCGCCAGCACGGCGGGUUGCGGCGUCGCCAUGGAGAUGGAGAGUUGCAAACUUGCGAAGCGAAGGAGCCCGAGGAGGUGCGCGGUCGGGUUGUUGGGCUUCGGAGAGAAGAGGAGUUCGAGUCAUGGGAGGUUUUGGGUUAGGGGCUGUAUAUAUAGUGGCACGAUCGUGGAUGGCAAGCAGUGGUGUUCUCCAAGCCAAGUCCAAUUGCAAAUCCAAGAUUGUCCUUCGAAGUGAAUAAUAAGCUUCUAAAAAUCCUGGGAGUAGCCGAUUCUGGCCUCCUGGGACUUUCUGUAGCAGCAGUGGUAGAUUCCUACAAAAUGUGCUGUUGUGGACAGCAUUUUCCUCCAACAAAAAAACAGUAGGAUGGUAAGUCACAGAUACAUGGAUGAUGGAUCCAAGUGUGGAGAUCAUAUUCAGCAAGUUAUCUGGACUGCAAAAUCGUUUGCGUGCCGCUCGUUUCGAACACACAGAAAAGAGGCCUCCACAGAAAACGUUCCUCCGUCAUGAUCUGCUGCUAUUAAUAGUAAUGUUCGGCAAAUGAAGUGCUACAAGAUCUACCAGUCAUUGCUAGGCUCUGGACUGAAUUGACUAGCACAAAUUUAGUCCUCUGGAUCAUGAAUAUUCCAGUCAGUACGUAGCAUUGAAAUUUACUAGUGCUUCAGUUCAGUCCAAUUUAUAGAAUGGAAAACGACUCUAAAUUUGUAUGUGCAUUGAACAAAAUAAGGGAGUACCAAUUGUCACAUCUAUACAAAUUUUCGCACUAUGAUCCUAUCCACAUAGGGUAUCGGUGGCCUCGUGAUCACUUUAUGAAUACUACACUACAAAGUCAAUGUUUUCUCAUCUUCCAUAUGAUAGGUGUGAUUAUGGAAAUUGAUAGAUUGUUUCUCGCCUGCAUAAAGCAUGAAUUGCUAGUAAUCGCCGGUCAGCCAUACGGCGGUGAAUCCGUUCUCGGGCCGUAGGUGAUUACAACUUUUCUGUGACCAACCCUAUGAAAUUAUAAUCUCUAAACAAGUAUAAGCAAAUAAAAUCAUAGGGUUACCUAAAGGUCGAAUGAUAUACCUCCUGAAGUAUACUGGCAGUUUUCUGAAAUUUUGUUCUGGCAGUACAUUAAUUAUGCAAGGUGAAUGUGCUACAUAAGGACAUAAUUUUAGAUAUAAGUCAGAAAGGAACUAAUUAUUUAUUGAUUUAAACCAUUACUCCUUGGCAAAUGCAAUUGCUACAAAAUCUGCUUGACUUGGCUAAGCUCUAGGAGACUGGAGAGCAAUGGCUAGCAAUAUUUUGUACUUGAAGGUCUUGACUCUUGAGUCUAACACAUCAAAGUGCUGCCAAAAAUAACUCGUGCAACCCUGAAGCAAUUAUUGUAAGCUUGAUAACAUUCCAGCCAGUAGCAUUUAUGGAGAAGUUUCCCUUAUCCUUACCCUCACAGUUCUGUCCAAUUCAUAUAUCUACAAAGAAACGGACACCGAAUUUCUGCAACAUGAUUUGGUGCUUACAAAUUUUCUAGUAUGAACAAUAAAUAUGCAGAAAAAACUGUAAGUUCUCUAAAAGGUAUAAAACCUCUGAACUGUUCUGAUAGAUGUUGCAAGGGGGAUGGAUCACAAUUUUUUGAACAAAGGGUGAGUUUUAUUGAUUCAAAUGAAGCAUCAACCAAAUACAAACACAAUGAGCACAAUCACAACCUCUACAUAGCUAGGAUACACACCCACACCAACACACACAAACAUAGCAAAGUCAUACAAGACCAAAGCUAUGUUAAGCGACAGAAGAAAACUCCAAAACGAUGAAAACAGUGAUCGACGAACUACAACAACCAAUCUGCCUCAACUAGAUCGAGCGCACAAUCAAGAACUGAAAACACAAGAGACACAACAACGCUGAAGAAAUCAACAUGCAGCUGUGGCGUAAUGCUACUCCUGCAGGAGGAGGAGCACCGCCCCUUGGUCGCCCUAGUUCCCCAGCGUUAACCGCCGCAUGAGCUCAUCGAGUCGCGGGUACACGAUGUAGCUCUCGGAGCCCUCGUCCUCGCUGGAGCUGCUGUCGACGGGCGGCGGCGGCGGCCGAGGGAUCAGCGGCUUCCUGUAGACCUUGUGGACCACGAAGACGACGUCCGCCGGCACGGGGCCCGGGUGCGCGCGGCGGAAGGCGGCCGCGUUCCUGUUGAGCCGGUACUCCUUCAUCCGCCAGCGCGUCGGCGAUAUUACCUCCCCGUCCCUCCACGAGUAGCGGUACGCGAACCUGCGCCGGAACGCCACUGCCUCCCGGCCGCCCUCGCCGCCGUAGUACGCCUUCUCCUGGCCGUACUGCACCCAGCACCCGGGCGUCGGGCACGUCUCGCCGGCGGGCUUUGCCGCGAAGAAGAAGCCCCAUACCUCGCCGUAAUCCCUCCUGUGGUUUUCCGAGAAGGAGAGCGCGCGUGGGCGCAAGGACAAGACGUCCACGCCCUCCUCGAUGACGCCGGGGAGGAAGAAGCCGCCGAGCCCCGCCCUGGGCAUGAGGUAGUGGCCGACGAGCUCACGGCCGGUGGGUUGGAACACGUAGCCAGCUUCUGCCAGAUUAGCCAUCGCCGACCGAUGCUGAAGUUGUAGCCUAGCUAGGAGGGGUAGGUUCUGUGGGCGACGGGAAAUGUUGGGUGGAUCAGAGAGUUCGAUUAUGCCAUGGGAGAACUCAGAUCCGGGGGGCCUGCUCCUCCUUUUGUAGUAGAUGGGAUGGCAUCAUGGCAGUUGGCAGUGGCAGGGAAGGUUCCAGAAGCAAGUACAGAUGGCACACCAGAUAGGGGAUGUCAAAUUCGGUCGCGUGUACUCAAUUCGAACAAAAUUUGAUGGCCCAUUUGAUCAAGAGUGUCCAAUCUGAAAACAGGUCAGACCGAGUGGCCUUUUUCGGUCUUGUCCCGCCGGUUUGUUUCACAACCGUGCUUGGCCCAAAACAAAUGGCACCGGAUUAGAGUCCACAAAAUUUUUCUAAUAUAAGAGAGCAGGGUGAUCUAGGCUUCGAAACACCUUAGCAUUUCUUGAGUCCCAAAAUUUCCGGAGAAUUGAGAGAGGCACGCCUCUGGCUAAAUGAAGUUAGUAAGGUUGCUUUUGACAUAGCACCCCUCCCCCUCCCGAAGCAAGUAGGCGGCAGAAGAGUAAGUUGUUGUCAAAUCCGCAUGGCUUUCGGACAGUUGAUGAAGAGGUGAUUUGUGUUUUCGGAAGGAACAAAGUACCUUAAAAGGGUGGCGGCUUAUGAGAGUUGACUGUCAAACAUAUGUGCGUUGAUUUAAUUUGUUGCCGAACAAUAACCAAGCAACAAAUAUUGACUAUAUCUAGAGCACGACAGCGCUAGAUGAGCUUGGCAUGAGGACAUUCCACGAGACCAUACAUGCUAAUUUUAAAGAGAUAAAAAACAGCGGAACGAUUCACCAUCGAUAUGUAUGCAUCUAUCUGACAAAGCAAUGAUGUCGGCGCUCUAAAUGUUACUUCUACUAGUGAAAGAGGGAGGGUGAUCUAGGCUUCGAAACGCCGCAACAUUCCCUAGGUCCUAAUUUAGAUAAUUGAGAGAGGCACCUCUAAUUAAAUGAAAUUUUUGAGCUUGCUUUUAGCGUAGCAACAACCCAUAAGCCCCGGAAGCAAGUAGGUGUGGGUUAUUGCCAAAUCCGCAUGGGUUUCGGACAGUUGAUGAAGAGGUUAUCUGUCUUUGGUAGGAACAGGGUACCUCGUAUGGGCGGCGGGUCGGGAGAGGUGCACGUCGAACAUAUUUGCCUUGGUUUAUAUUUCCUCAAACAAUAACCAAACAACAAAUAUUGACCAUAUUGAGCAUGGUAGUGCUAGAUAAGCUCGGUAUGAUCACACUUCAUAUUUUUUUAUUCCAUGUGAGAUCAUACAUGCUAAUUUUAAAGGGACAAACAUAUAGCGACAAAAUCAUUGACGUCGGCGCUCUAAAUGUAAUUUUUUAAGCUUCAAAAUGAUAUAUCUCUCAAACGAUUUUUUGUGCAUAUCCAUGGUCCCCUUUGUUUCGACGAGAUCAUUGAAACUAGACCCUAUGUUGUUGAACAUCGACGUUUAUAUAUUUCACAUGUGUCAUAAUUUGUUUUCCUAUGAAGUUGGCUUAGUAGCAAAGUUACUAGGCGGCAAACAUAGAACGAAAACUUUAUGGAUGUUUUAAAAAGCAUCUCUAUCUCUAUAUCUAACUUUUAUAUCUAUAUCUAUAUAUGUCUCUUCCUAUCUAAAAAAGGGAAAUGUUUUCCGUUCCGCUCCACACUUCUUCCAUCCUCCCUCGCACCACCGUAUUGUUUCGGUACCACGAGAAAGACCAGAGAAAAUUCAUCGUGUGAAAGCCCCACUCAUGCACCUCUGGGUAAAUGAAGUUUUUGAGGUUGCUUUUGGUGUGGCAAUAACCCAUAAGUCUCGGAAGCAAGUAGGCCUGAGUCGUUGCCGAAUCCGCAUGGCAAUCGGACAGUUAAUGAAGAUGUGAUUUGUGUCUUGGGAAGGAGCGGAGUACCUCCGACAGGCGGCAGCUUGAGGUGCUUGUCGAACAUAUUUUUCUUGGCUUAAUCUUUCCUCGAAUAGUAACCAAGCAAAAAAUAUUGCCAUAUUUGGAGCAUGACAAUGCUAGAUGAGCUCUACAUGAUCACACUGCACAUUUUUAUCCCUGUGCGACCAUACAUGCUAAUUAUAAAGGUAAAAAUAUAGUGGAACGUUACACACAGGCAUCAAUGACGCCAGCGCUCUUAAUGUUAUUUUGAAACUUCAAAAUGAUAUAUCUCUCGAACCAUUAUUCAGAUUUACAAUCUAUCUCCAUGGCCUGCUGUUUAGACAAGAUCAUCAAAACUAGACCCAUAUGUUGUUAAGCUUUGAUGUUUUUUCUUUCGUCCAAAAGUGUCACCAAAUUUUUCUAUGAAGUUGCCUUAGUACCAAAAUUACAAAGUGGAAACUUUGAUACUAAUACAACAACAAGUUCAUUAAACAUGGGUUGACACCUUUAUGGAUGGCUUUCCUUCUUCAAAAUAUACGGAUCUCCUAAAUCACUAAGCUCCAUGGGACAAAAUCUCCCAGGAGUGAUCGAGGCGGCCGAUUUCGCUAGUGGUCUUGAUUUUGACCGGGCAGGCGCGUUGAGUGGGCCCCUUUGGUCGGGCGUGUGGGGGUGUGGGCCUAAGCAUUGUGGCCAUUGGGAGGGGUUUGUUUUGGUACGUGUCGCACGGUUGCCUUCCUCUUCCACACUCUGCUUGCAUCAAGUACGAGAGAUGACACGGUCUACAGACCCUAGCGCCUCUGAAACCUCCCAUCCACGCAUCGCACACUGUCGCUCACUGUGCAUCACCUUCUUGUUCCUGUCGGGCGCCGCUAGCUCCCAGGCCAACACCUGCCUAUUUUUCGUCAGCGUUGGCUGUCCCCGUUGGGUGCUGGACUUGAUAAGCUCUAGCGGCGCAUAAUCUGGUCAGUACCCUCGGUGGGGUGGUGAACGUGGUUGUAUGUACCAUACCGGAGGUCGCACAUGGGUUUUACCCUGAUUCAGGCCUCUAGUGAGGAGUAAUACCCUAUGUCAUGCUUUGAGUUCUUAUUCAUGGUGAGUGACCUUGGACGAGGGAUUACAGUGGCGGAGAUGAGAUUGCUACCGAGAGUCUAGUCUAUGAGAGUACAUCACAAUGAGAGCCUUGUAGACCUCUCCUUAUAUGCACGGUGAGGGCUAUAGUUUUACAAGAGGGAGAUCCAAUCAUGGUUGCCGCCAUGCUGGCUUGGAGGGCAAGAUGAUCCUUGGAAUCAUACCCAUUCCUUCGGGCACCUUCCUAUUUUCUAGCUAUGUGGUCGGCCUCCUGGGCCCCUUGGCAGGUCUGCUGUCGUGCUCCCUAUGGAGAAGGCACCCUCGGUUUAUCACACCUUUAGUAGCCCCCGAGCUUGUGUGGGGUUGGAGCUCUUUGGUCUUUGAGAACCCAUGCAAACUCCUCGUCUUUGUGUUGGAUGUCAGGACCUCUUUCUGGGAGCUCGACCUUGAAGACGUCUGCGGGCCUGUUCACCGCGAAUGCUUUCCACUGCGGGCUCGACUGUGGCAUGGAGCUCGCUGAAGGCCGAGGCCCCGUGUUCUGAGCUAUGAUGUCAAGUCUCCGGUUGAUUGAAUCAUCACAACCAGGCCUGUGUUGUCUUGUCAAACAAGCUCAUAGAUGAUAAUGGCUGAAUUCGCACACCCACAUCUCCCGGAAUGGGAAACCGCAGAGGAUGUGGGGCGCUUGUCACACCGUGAGGCCCGACUGUUCAGUUUUAUUGCGGCAGCCAUAAAGCAGGGAAGAAAAGGUAAUUUCUCCUUCCCCUCCUUUCAUAUUCAUCCUCACGCAUUCGCCUCCUUGCAUCCUCUGCUAUUACCACAAAUCUAUAGCUCGCACAACCUUCAGCCUUAAUCCUCUGCAUCCAUCAAGAUAGCAAAAAUCCAAGAAUGGCCAGGGACGGACUCAUGCAAUACGCCGCUUAGGCGACCGUGGCCGCGAAGCGAAAAUGGAAGAGGGCCGCCGAUGGCCGCGACCCGCAAGCUAAAGUAGCCUCAUGCGGCGAAUGAAACCACGAGGAAGUGGUUUUCGUCAUCCUUCCGCGCUGAGGAGCUCGACCAAUUGGUGGUGAAGAAGUGUACCCCGGCAGAUCUGGUCCACAGGAUGCUCGAGAAGGAAGCCCCACCAGCGUCAGCCGCCGAAGAGCACGUGCUUCAUCAGGAGUUCUUCGGAGAGAAGUGCGGUGAUUGAUAUGGUUAUUGUUGUUGCCAACACAUGAAGUGAUUAAGUUGAAGUCGCCGCCAAGUAGCCACGGACCAGCACACAACACCCUGCAUCCCAGAGGUCUACCAGGAACUGCAACUUGUCGUCGUUGCCUUGAGGGCCAUAAACCAUAGUCAACAACGAGUACAGGUUCACCAGAGACGAGAGCUGUAAUGUGGUGCAAGACAAUGAUGGGACUGGAGAUGGACACUGCUGAGCGCUGCCAGGCGAGAAUAAUGCCUUCCCAGGUGCCAAUCGUGGGUAGGAAGAAGAAGUCCUGAAAGCUUGGGCCAACGUCUUGAUCACCGUGGGCAGCACGACAAGGUUCAGUUUGAUCUCUUUGCGACAAAUCACAAUAGGAGAGGCAACGUAAAUAAUAGGACGAACGGUAGCGUGUUUGGUAGGGCAAUUAAAACCGCGAACAUUCCAACAAAUCACAUGAAGCACUCCAUAAAGACCAAGGAUGUGUCCAAUGGGGGAUGGGGGAGGGGGCACGACACUAAUCUACGAUAGUCCGAACAUUGGCAGUGGUGUGGUGCAGCCUGGAAAGCACGGUGUUAGGUAUGUCCAACCCGGAAAGUAAAUGGAUGAACCUACUUUGGAAAACUCAUUCUAAAUGCCAAAAAACUCUGAAAAAGUUUCACGCAUACAUCUUCACAUUCUAUGUGCACGCAUAAAGUUUCGCGGAAAAACAACUUUUCCUUUGACAUGUGCAAAAAAGACAAAAAAUGCAUCGUGGAACGCUUUUAGAAGCACUGAAGUUUGUCUUUUUCACAGAGGCAAAAUAAAAAGUGACUUUUUUCACAAAACUUUGUGCUGCAUACACAUGUGUGCGUAGAUGUAUGCAUUUGUUUUGUUUUUUUUUAACAUUUUAAAACGCGUUUAAAACGCAUUUUUGAAAGUGGGUUCAUAUGCCCAUGAGUUCAAGACUUUCCCACUCUAUCUCACCCAUAGUAAUCUGCAAACGCCUGGACAACGUCCUCCGCAAGGGGAUGUUCAAACAGCGUGGAGUACUUGGCCAGACUCUUAACAGUAAGCAGUUUGUCUUCUUGAAGAAUGACUGUCGUAGAAUACGCUUGGCCUUAGUAUCGGUAAAAGUAAUGCACCGGCUGCGUCUAGGCGUAGAAGGGGUAGCUAGCAAUGGCAAGGGUGCAAAUUUGCACGCCACGCGCAAACACAUGCAAAGCGGGGUCCACCACCGAAGCCGCAUGGGGGCCAUGCAGCAAUGUUUGGCUGGAAAAGAUGCAACCAAGACGUUGCUGGGGCCAGACAGUGUUUAGUUGGAAGAAACAGCUAAAACGUUGCUUGUGAGGUAUAGUAGUAGCAAAUAUUGUUUCUACACUAUAGUUGUGGAAUCAUUUUUUAAAAUAUAUAUCAACUGAAGUGAGGAUGGCAGGGUCACAGAUAUACAUGAAUAUGACGGCUUAUGCAAGUAUGGUUAUUGUACUACUAGUCUAUAGUUCAAACAAAAAUAACAUCUACUACUAGUGUCUCAGUUCAGUCCAAUUUGCAGAAAGGCAAAUGAUUCUAAAUUUGUAUGUGCACUAAAUAAAAUAAGGAAUUUUCACAUAUUUACAAGUUUCGGCACUAUGAUUAGGUGAUUACAACUUUUCUGUAACGAACCCUAAUUUUCUCUCUCUAAACAACUACUCCUGAAGGUUGAAGGAUAUACCUCCUGAACUAUCCUGCCAGUUUUUUUAAAAUAUUGUAAUUACAUAACUCAACCUUAUUUCCCGAACUAGAUGACCGUAACAAAGCUAAGAACAACCCAAACAUGGGAGGAGACGACCAAGACAAACGUCCACAUAAAAUCUAAAUCAUAAUAUGAAACGACCAUAACCUGUGACAGCCCAUUGCCAAGCAUCGGUUUUAAACUGACUGAUGACUCUUCACAAAGGCAAGUAUGUGUUGUUGAAAAACCCUCUUGUUCCUCUCUCACCAUAUGCUCCAGAUGAUUAGAGACACCAAGGAAUAUAAGCCUUUCUCUUUGUGCUAUGAGUUCUCGACCUGGCUUCCUGCCACCAUCAUGGGAAAGGAAGCCGAGGGAACGUUCUCGCUCAGAUUUGCCCAUUGCAGCACCGAGCUCCAACUGAUCGAAAUGAGCUGCCUCCUGUGUAGAGGUACAGAAACAAGAAGUAUCAUUAUGUGCUAAAUCCCUCUUGGCAGGAUGGUCUGCCGUCCAAACACGACAAUGAGCCAAAGAAAAAGUUUGCAUCUCAACGGUGCCCAGAAUUGCCUUAUGGUGCAAUCCGUACUGCAAUUGAUUGCCGCAGUGAAAUAAGCACUGUAUACUAACUUUGCCGAAAAAACUCCUUUAGGGUGGAUCCGGGGGAACCUGCUCCUCCUUUUGUAGAUGGGCCGACAUCAUGAGUUGGCAGAGUAGGUUCCAGAAGCCAAGUACAGAUGGCACACUAGAUAGGGGAUGUCAAAUUCGGUCACGUGUGCUCAAUUCGAACAAAAUUUGAUGGUCCAUUUGAUCAAGAGCGUCCAAUCUGAAAACAUGGUCAGACUGAAUGGCCUUUUUCGGUCACGUCCCGGCUUUGUUUCACAACCGUGCUUGGCCCAAAAAAAAUGGCAUUGGAUUAGAGUCCAAGAAAUUUUCCUAAUAUAAGAGAGGCAGGGUGAACUAGGCUUCAGAACACCUUAGCAUUUCUUGAGUCCCAAAAUUUCCAUAGAAUUGAGAGAGGCACGCCUCUGGCUAAAUGGAGUUUUUAAGGUUGCUUUUCCGAAGAAAGUAGGCGGCAGAAGAGUAAGUUGUUGGCAAAUCCGCAUGGCUUUCGGACAGUUGAGAGGUGAUUUGUGUUUUCGGAAGGAACAAAGUACCUUACACUGGCGGCGGUUACGAGAGGUGAUUGUCAAACAUAUUUGCGUUGAUUUAAUCUGUCCUCGAACAACAACCAAACAACAAAUAUUGACUAUAUUUGGAGCAUGACAACGCUAGAUGAGCUCAGCAUGAUCACACUCCACAUUUUUAUCCCAUAUGAGACCAUACAUACUAAUUUUAAAGAGACAAAAAAAUAUAGUGGAACGAUUCGCCAUUAAUAUGCAUUUAUCUAUUCAACAAAGCAAUGAUUUCGGCGCUCUGAAUGUUACUUCUACUGGUAAGGGAGGGAGGGUGAUCUAGGCUUCGGAAUGCCACAACAUUCCCUAUGUCCCAAAUUCAGAUAAUUGAGAGAAGCACCUCAGAGGAAAUGAAGUUUUUGAGCUUACUUGUGGGGUAGCAACAAUGCAUAAGCCCUGGAAGCAAGUAGGCGUGUUGCCAAAUCCGCAUGGGAUUCGGACGGUUGAUGAAGAGUUUAGGUGUCGUUCCUUAGGUGUCUUUCGAAGGAACGACGUACCUUGUAUGGGCGACGGAUCGGGAGAGGUGCUUGUCGAACAUAUUUGCCUUGGUUUAAUCUUUCCUCAAACAAUAACCAAGCAACAAAUAUUGACCAUAUUGAGCAUGGCAGUGCUAGAUGAGCUCGGCAUGAUUACACUCCACAUUUUCUAUUUCACGUGAGACCAUAUAUGCUAAUUUUUAAAGGGGCAAACAUAUAGCGACAAAAUCAACGACGUCGGUGCUCUACAUGUUAUUUUUUAAGCUUCAAAAUGUGAUAUCUCUCAAACCAUUUUCCAGGCAUCUCCAUGGUACGCUUUGUUUCGAUGAGAUCAUUGAAACUAGACCCUAUAUUGAGCUUCAACGUUUUUAUCUUUCACAUGUGUCAUAAUUUUUUUCUAUGAAGUUGGCUUAGUAGAAAAGUUACUAGGUGGCAAACAUGGAACGACAGCUUUAUGGAUGUUUUAGAAAAAAAAAUCUCCAUCUCUAUAUCUAUAGUUCUAUAUCUAUCUCUUCCUAUCUAAAAAAGAAAGGUUUUCCAUUCCGCUCCACACUUCUUCCAUCCUCCCUCGCAACUCUGUUUUUUUUUCUUUCUGUACCACAAGAAUGACCGGAGAAAAACCGUCGUGUGAAAGUCCCACGCAUGCACCUUUGGCUAAAUGAAGUUUUUGAGGUUGUUUUUGGCGUGGCAAUAACCCAUAAGCCUCGGAAGCAAGUAGGCGUGAGUUUCUGCAAAUUCACAUGGCUUUUGGACAAUUAAUGAGGUGAUUUUUGUCUUCGGAAGGAGCGGAGUACCUCUGAUAGGCGGCGGCUUGAGGUGCUUGUUGAACAUAUUUGUCUUGGUUUAAUCUUUCCUCAAAUAGUAACCUAGAAAAAAAAUAUUGACCAUAUUUGGAGCAUGACAACCCUAGAUGAGCUCAACAUGAUCACACUCCACAUUUUUAUCCAUGUGAGACCAUACAUGCUAAUUUUAAAGGGGUAAAAAAUAUAGUGGAAGUUUCGCCCAUGCAUCUAAGGGUGAUAAAAGCAAUGACGUCGGCGCCCUAAAUGUUAUUUGAAACUUCGAAAUGAUAUCUCUCUCAAAGAGUUAUUCGGAUUUACGAUCUAUCUCCAUGGCCAGUUGUUUGGCCGAGAUCAUCAAAACUAGACCCUAUGUUGUUAAGUUUUGGCAUUUUUCCUUUCUUCCAAAAGGGUGUCGUCAAAUUUUUCUAUGAAGUUGCCUUAGUACAAAGGGAAAAUAUCUGGUGCUACGGGAGCACCUAAGAUGAUGAAUAUUUUUGCAAAAAAGCCCUCCAGGACCCCAAAAAAUGCACACAAGUACAACAGCUCCUUAGAUGCCGUUGGAUUUGAGAUCCGACAUCCCGGAAGCCCGUAUCACGGGUGCACCUAUGAGCCUGUAUCACAUGAUUCUCUCUCUUAGUACCAAAGUUACCAGGUGGCAACUUUGAUAGCAAUACAACAAGAAGUUCAUUAAACAUGGGUUGACAACUUUAUGGAUGGUUUUCUUUUUUCAAAAUAUACACAUCCCCUAAAUCACUAAGCUCCAUGGGGUACAAUCUUCCAGGAGCGAUCGAAGCAUUCAAUUUGGCUGGUGGCCUCAGUUUUCACCGGGGCAGGUUGAGUGGGCUUUGGUCGGCGUGUGGGAGUGUGGGCCUAGGCGUUGUGGCUAUUGGGAGGCGUUUGUUUGGGUAUGUGUCGCACGGUUGCCUCCUCCCUCUUGCACACUCUGCUUGCCUCAAUCGUGAGAGACGACACGAUCUGCAGACCCUAGCGCCAUCGGACCCCUGUCCGCGUGCUGCACACCUUCCCCAGCAGCAGCCGCUCACCGUGCAUCGCAUUCUUGUUCCUUUCGGCGCGCCGCCAGCUCCCAGGCCAACACCAGUCUGUUCUUCAUCGUUGUUGUCUCUCCCCAUCUGGGUACUGGAGUUGACCAACUUUGAUGAUGCAUAAUCUAGUCAGUACCAUUGGUAGGGUGGUGAACGUGGCUGGAUGUACCAGAUCGGAGGUAGCAUAGGGGUUUUACCCUGAUUCGGGCCUCCAUUAAGGAGUAACACCCUACGUCAUGCUUUGAGUUAUUAUUCAUGGUAGGUGUACCUGGGGCGAGGGAUUAUAGUGAGGGAGAUGAGAUUGUUACCGAGAGUCUAGUCUACGGGAAUAUAUGGGAAUGAGAGCCCUGUAGCCCUCUCCUUAUAUGCAAGUUGAGGGCUAUAUAUAGUUUCAAAAGAGGGAGAUCCAAUCACGGCUACUACCAUGCUGGCUUGGGGGAUAAGAUGAUCCUCAAACGCCUACCCAUUCCUUCGGGCACCUUGCUAUUGCUAGCUGCGUGGCUCGCCUCCUAGGUCCCUUGGCAGGUCUGCUGCCAGGCUCCCUGCGAAGAAUCCACCCUCGGUGCAUCGCACCGUCGGUAGCCCUGGAGCUUGUCUGGGGUUAGAUUUCUUCGGUCUUCGAGAACCCAGGGGAACUCCUCGUCUGGAUGUCAGGAUUUCUUCCUGGGAGCUCGACCUUGAAGACAUAUGCGAGUUUGCUCACUGCAAGGGCUCCGGGAACGCCUUCCGUUGCGGGCUCGGCUACAAUGCAGAGCUCCAUGGAGGCCGAGGCUACGCGGUCUAAGCUCUGACUUCAGGUCUCUAGUGGCUGAAUCAUCACAGCCAGACCCCACCCGGUCUUGUCAAAAUAGGCUCGUGGACCCUUGAGGGAACCCAUUCGUCGUGUGAUGUCAUGAUGAUAAUGCCUGAAUUCGCACGCCCACAUCUCACGAAAAGGGAAACCAUGGAGGACGUGGGGCACGUGUCAUGCCAUGAGGCCCGCCCAUUCAGUUUUAUAGCGGCGGCUAUAAAGAGGGAGCGAUAAGGUAAUUUCUCCUUCAUCUUCAUCCUCAUGCAUUCGCCUACUUGCAUCCUCUGCCAUUACCACACAUCUACAACUCACACAACCUUCCGCCUUAAUCAUCCGCGUCCGUCGAGAUGGCCAAAUCCAAGGGUGGCCAGGGACGGACUUGCACAAUACGCUGCUCUGGCGACCGGUUGCAAAGCAAAAACAGAAGAGGGUUGCCGACGAUCGCGGGCCGAAGCAGUCAGACGAUAAACAAAACCAUGGGGAAGUGAUUCACGUCGGCUGUCCGCGCUGAGGAGCUCGACCAGCUGGUAGUGGAGAAGUUUAUGUGGGCAAAUCUGGUUCACAGGUUGCCCGGGAAGGAAGCCCCACCAUCGCCGGUCGGCUAAGAUCACGUGCUCCAUCAUGAGCCGGCCAGAGGUGCGACGGUUGAGACAGUUAUUGUUCUUGUUAGCACAUGAAGUGAUUAAGUUGACGUCACCGCCAAGCAGCCACAUAACAGCACACAACACCCUGACAUCCUGAGGGUCUGCCAGGAACUGCAACUUGUCAUCUUUGCCUUGAGGGCCAUAAACCCCAGUUAACCAUGAGUGCGCCUUCCAGUCGACGAUAGAGACAAGAGCCGUAAUGUGGUGGAAGCCAAUGGUGGGAUUGGAGAUAGACACCGCCGAGCGCUGCCAGGCGAGAAGAAUGCCUUCCCGGGUGCCAAUCGUGGGGAGGAAGAAGUCCUAGCUCGGGCCCAACGUCUCGAUCCCUGUGAGCAGCACAAUGAGGUCCAGUCUGGUCUCCUUGAGACAAAUCACAGUAGGAGAGGUAGCAGAUAUAACAAAAUGAACAACAACGUGUUUGGCAAGACAAUUAAGACCACGAACAUUUUAGAAAAUCGCACAAAGACCAAGGAUGGGUCCAAUGGGGGAUGGGGGAGGGGGCAGCCUGGAAAGCACGGUGCUAGGCAUGUCCCACCCGAAAAGUACAUGUAUUAACCCACUUUGGAAACCUCAUUACUAAAUGCCAAAAAAAUUUAAAAAAGUUUCACGCAAACAUCUACACAUUCUAUGUGCGCACAGAAAGUUUCACGGGAAAACUACUUUUUCUUUGGCUUAUGCAAAAAAGGAAGCUGACAGGGGUUGGGUGCAACCUGGAAAGCACGGUGUUAGGCAUGCCCCACCCUGAAACUAAAUGGAUUAACCCACUUUGAAAAACUCAUUACUACAUGCCAAAAAAUUCUGGAAAAUGUUCACGCAUACAUGUUCACAUUUUAUGUGCGCGCAGAAAGUUUCACGGGAAAACAAGUUUUCUUGGGCAUGUGCAAAGACAAAAAUGCAUCAUAGAAAGGUAUUCAACAACACUGAAAUUUCUCUUUUUCGCAGAGGCAAAAUAAGAAGAGAUUUUUCACAAAAAAUUGUGCCGUGUACACAUGCACGCGAAGAUGUAUGUAUUUAAUUUGUUUUGAAAUUUUUGACAUUUUAAAACGCGUUUAAAAUGCUUUUUUGAAAAAUGGGUUCAUAUGCCGACGGGUUCAGGAUGUUCCCACUCUAUCUCCCCGUAGUAAUCGCGAACGCCUGGACGACGUCCUCCGCAAGGGGCUGUUCAAACAGCUUGGAGUACUUGGCCAGACUCUCAGCAGUAAGCGGCUCGUCUUCUUGUAGAAUGGCAAGGUGGCGUAGGAGAACACACUUGGCCUUGGUAUCGGCAAAGGCACUGCACCGGGUGCGUCUUGGCGUGGACGAGGGUAGCUAGCAGCAGAAUCGGUGCCAAUUGCACACCAUGCACAAACGCAUGCAAAAGCGGGGUCCGCCCCCAAAACCGCACGGGGUUGUGGAACAUGCACAGCAGAGCGAGACAGUGUUUCAUUGGAAAAGACGCAGCCAAACAUUGCUGGGCCAGACAGUGUAUGGCUGGAAGGCGCAGCCAAAACGUUGCUUGGAACGUAGCACAAUAUUCAUUUGCGAAAGUUUUCAAGAAAUAUAUCAUUUGAUGUCAGGAUGGCAAGUCACAUAUCCAUGAAUAUUACGGUUUCUACAAGUAUGGUUAUUAUACUCAACAAGUUAUUUGAAAUGCAAACUCGUUUGUCGGCCUCGGCCAUGGCCCCAUGAUCUACUGCUAUUGGAAGGGGAAACUAGCUACUGGGCAAAUGCAAGUGCUACAAGAUCUACUUGACAAGGCUAAGCUUUGUAGGUUUUUUUUUUUUGAAACGAGCUAAGCUCUGGAGUGAAAUGACUAGCACAAACUUAGCCCCCUGGAUCAUGAACAUAGGCUUAUAAACUGAAACUGGCAUAUCCUUGCAAUGAUUACCCAAAAUUCCAGUCAGUAGCAUUGACAUCUACUACUAGGCUAGUUCAAACAAAAAUAACAUCUACUACUAGUGUCUCAGUUCAGUCCAAUUUACAGAAGGGCAAAUGAUUCUAAAUUUGUAUGUGCACUGAACAAAAUAAGGGAGUACCAAUUUUCACAUCUAUAUACAUGUUUCGGCACUAUGAUUAGGCGAUUACAACUUUUCUGUAACCAACCCUGUUUUUUUCUCUAAACAACUACUCGUGAAGGUUGAAUGAUAUAGACUGAUCGAUGACUCUUCGCAAUGGCAAGUAUGUGUUGUUGAAAGCCCUCUUGUUCCCCGCAAAAAAAAACCCUAUUGUUCGCCUCUCUAGCCAUAUGCUCUAGACUAGAGACACCAAGGAACUUAAAGCCUUACUCUUUGUGCCAUGAGACACCAAGGAACUUAAAGCCUUACUCUUUGUGCCAUGAGUUAUAGACUUGGCCACCUACCAGGCUACCACCAUCAUGGAUUGGAAGGGAAGUCGAGGGAAUGAUUUCACUUAGAUUUGCCCAUUGCAGCACUGAGAGCUCUAAAUGAUCGAAAUGAGCCACUUCCUAUGUAGAGACUUCAUCUCCCUGAAAACAAUAAGUAUCAUUAUGUACGUGCGAAAUCCCUCUUGGCAAACACGACGACGAGCCAAAGAAAAAGUUUGCAUUUCAACGGCGCUUAGGAUUGUCUUCUGUGCAAUCCGUACUUCAAUUGAUAGCCGCAGUGAAAUAAGCACUAUAUACUAACUUUACCUAAAAACUCCUUUUGAAUCCCAAUUCCAGGUCCACUUAUCUUCAACGCCAUGGAUCGUCGGGGUUUAAGAAAUAGUUUCCAGAAGGUAACCACCUGCAGGAAAGGGUGAAUGUUGAUCUCACCAUUGAUAUCUUUGAUCCAAGCUUCAUUAGAAGUCGCUUCAGCAACAGUCCCCGCGCGACCUGACGACCGGAUAUACUAAUUAUUUGUUGGUUUAAAAUCUGUUAGGUAAGUCACAGAUGCAUGAGCAUUACAGCUUAUAUAUACUAAUAUGGUGCUUAUGUCCAGCAAAGUCAUCCGAAGCUUAGCUUCCAAUUAUUCAGAUGUGAAGACAUCUUUAGCUUGAUUGCUGUGACUGAAACUGAAAACCGUUACUCCUAAAUACUAGUAAAACUGAAACUGUAGUGGUAUUCAAACUGAUAUCUCUCUCUCCAACCAUUUUGAAACUGAAACUGGAGUAGUAACCAUUACUCCUAAAUAUACUACUCCAAUUCCAAUUAUUCGAAAACAAAGCGGACCAUAAAGACAGAUAAUAAAAUCUAAACUUAUACUCCCUCCGUUCCUAAAUAUAAGUCUUUGGAGAGAUUCUACUAUGAACCACAUACGGAUGUAUGCAGAUGCAUUUUAGAGUGUUGAUUCAUCCAUUUUGCUUUGUAUGUAGUCCAUAAUGAAAUCUCUACAAAGACUUAUAUUUAGGAACGGAGGGAGUACACAUGGGAAGACAUCAGACCAAGACUCACGUCCACAUAAAACAUAAAUCAUAAAAUGAAAUGGCGAUAAAACCUCCGAACUAUUCUGGCAGAUGCUGCGAGGGAGGCUGACUACAUUGUACUUCGAACGAAACAGACCAACCAAUCUACCUCAACUAGAUCGAGCGCACAAUCCACAACUGAAAUGAAACGAAGUAGAGACACAACAACUCUGAAGAAAUCAACAUGCAGAUGCAUAAUUCUACCGCCGCCUCCUCUUCAACACCAUGGAGCGCUCGGAACCCUCCUCCUCCUCGCUGGAGCUGCUGUCGGCAGGCGGGGGGAGCACCGGCUUCCGGUAGACCUUGUGGACCACGAAGACGACGUCCGACGCCUCGGGGUCAGGAUGCGCGCGGCGGAAGGCGGCCGCGUCCCUGUUGAGCCGGUACUCCUUCAUCAGCCAGCGCGUCGGCGAGCAUACCGCCCCGCCCUUCCACGUGUAGCGGUACGCGAACCUGCGCCUGAACGCCACUGCCUCCCGGCCGCCCUCGCCGCCGUAGUACGGCUUCUCCGUGCCAUACUACACCCAGCACCCGCCCGCGCCCGGCGUCGGGCACCUCUCGCCGGCGGGCUUUGCCGCGAAGAAGAAGCCCCAUACCUCGCCGUAAUCCCUUAUGUGGUUUUGCCGGAAGAGGAGCUCACGCGGGGGCAAGGACAAGACAUCCACACCCUCCUCGAUGAAGCCGGGGAAGAAGUCACCGCCGAGCCCCGCCCUGGGGACGAGGUAGUGGUCGAUGAGCUCACGGCCGGUGGGUUGGAACACGCAGCCGGCUGUCAGAUUAGGGUUCGCCAUCGCCGACCGAUACCGAAGUUGUAGCCUAGAGAGGUAGAUGCUGUGGGCGACUCAAAAUGUUCAGUGGAUCUGAGAGAGAGAGAGAGAGUUCGAUUAUGCCCUGGGAUAACUCAGAUUGGGAGGACCUGCUCCUGCUUUUGUAGAUGUGUUGGCAUUAAUGACAGGAAGGUUCCAGAAGCCAAGUACAGAUGGCACAGUAGAUAGAGGGUGUCUAAUUCGGUGGAAAAUAUUUUGUAGAGCAUAGGCUUUGGGACACCCCCUUAUCUAGCCACUCAUUUUUGCAUCGCGAUUCGUGCGAAUACAUUUGUCUUUUUUGUUUCUCCCAUAUAGAACAACAUAUGAACUUCAAACUUGGCAGCUCAACAAAACAUUCUUACUAGAAUGUGGGAAAAAAACUUUCAGAAUUUUUCGUGCAAUAUAAAUACUAAAAAGUACAUUUUUUAAUACAAAAAAACUAAUUUCGUAUAUUUAUGUUUGACAAAAAAAUCUGAAAGUUUUUUCUCACAUUCUAGUUAGAACAUUUUGGUGUCUUGCAAAGUUUGAAGUUCAUAUGUUGUUUUAUUUUGAAGAAACAAAAAAGAGAAAAUCUAAUGUACAAAGUUAGUUGUCUAGUACGGAUCUCAAAGCAAUGUUGCAGGGUAAGGAUAAGAGGUGUCCAGAAACCUGAGCUCUAAAAAUCCGCGUCCCUAAUUCGGUCGGUGAUAACAUGUGCUCAAUUAGAACAAAAUUUGAUGGGCCAAUUGAUUAGGAUUGUGCAAUCGGAUUUGUUGCACAACCGUGCUUGGCCCAAACAAAUGGCAACAGAUUAGAGUCUACAAAUAUUCCUAAUAUAAAGAGGGAUGGUGAUUUAGGCUUCGGAACACCUGAGCAUGUUUUAGUCCCGAAAUUUCAAGAGAAACGAGUCUCACAAUUUGUAGAGAAGUGAGGGAGGCACAUGUGGUUAAGUGAAGUUUUUUAGGUCGAUGAUGACGUAGCAACUACCCCCCUCCCCCCUCCCACGCCUUUGCACGCGGAAGCAUGCUGGCGACAGAACAGUGAGGUAUUGGGAAAUCCGCAUGGCUUUCGGACAAUUGAUGAAAGGUGAUUUGUUUCUUCAGACGGAACGGAGUACCUUGUACGGGCGGCGGCUUGAGUUAGUUGUUGAGAAAUCCCCAUUACUUUCGGACACAAGGUGCCUUGAUUUAAUCUUUCCUGGAACAAUGACCAAGCAACAAAAUAUUGACCAUAUUUGGAGCAUGACAGCGUCAAAUGAGCUCGGCAUGAUCACACUUCAUAUUUUUAUCCCAUGUGAGACCAUACAUGCUAAUUUUAAAGGGACACAAAAUAUAGAAGAACGAUUCUCCAACAAUAUGCAUGCGUCUAUUGGCGGCAAAAUCAAUGACGUCAACGCUCUAAAUGUUACUUUUGAAACUUCAAAAUAAAAUCUCUCUCAGACCAUUACUCAGAUUUAUGUUCUAUCUUCAUGAUCCGCUUUGUUUCGACGAGAUCAUUUUAAUUAGACUAUAUGUUGAUAAGUAUUGACGGUUUUUUUUCCUGAAUGGUGUCGCCAAUUUUUUAUAUGAAGUUGCCUUAGUACCAAAGUUACCAGCCAGUAACUUUGAUACGAAUACAACAAGUUCGUUAAAGAUGGAUUGACAACUUUAUGGAUGUUGAAACUCCCAGGCGCGAUCUAGUCGAUAGAUUUGCUCGACUGUCCCCGAUUUUGACCGAGUGACGCGUAGGCUGGGCUGGUGGCUGGUGGGCCUUGGUCAACAUUUGGGAGUAUGGACCUGGGCUGCCCGUGAGGGGAAUUUCGAUCGGAUGUCCUCGAUUUAGUACAAAAUUUGUUUGUAAUUUCAAAAAUAAUCAAAAUAAUUCAAAUUUCUUCAGAAUUUAAAAUGUGUUCCUAUUUUCAAAAUAUGUGUUUUCAAAAAAAUGUCCAUAUUUCAAAAAGUAUUGAUUUUUUCACAGAAAAAAUAUGUUCAAAUUUUUCAAAAAACCUUCAAAUCUAUGGAUGUUUGUAGUUCUUAAGACUCCGCGCUACUCAUUAGUAACGAAAUUUUGCUCGAUCCAGUCACUGGCUAGGCUCGUGCACGUGAGAGCUGGAGGUCAUGUGUUUGACCAAUAGCGAGCACAAUAAUUUAUGGAAUUUUGCAUAACGCUUCCACUUUUGGACCAGCCCAACUCUACGCGUUCGUAGGGCUGCUAUUCGCCGUGAAAUGUUGCAGAUAUGAGUUCACAUGGGGGAGGCAGUUCUUGAGGAGGUCCUAUUUUGUGCGAUGCAUGCUGGGAGGAGGGGCAACGCGCACCCGCAUCUCUUACCCAAUGUGCCCUUUCGGGCUGUCAUAUCUACAUGGUACCCUUUUUUCAUUUUUUUUCUUUUUCUUUUUUCUUUUCCAAUUUGGUGCUAUUUUUCUGAUUUAAAUAAUUCGGGAUUUCAUAAAAGUUCUGAAAUUCUAAAAAUCAAGAAUUUGGAAAAAUAAUUAUAAAAUCAUUAAAAAUUCCCUGAUUCAAGAAAAUGUUUGUGAUUAAAACAAAUGUUUGCAUAUUCAAUAAAUAUUCAUGAACUUUAAAAAUGUUCUAGAAAUAAAAAAGGUCAUGAUUUUAAAGAAAUAUUUUUCGAUUCAAAAAAUGUUCACAAAUUCAAAAAUUGGACCUGAAUUUUUGAACAUUCACAAAAUUCAAAAAAUAAUUGUGAAUUGCAAACAAACUUCGAUUCCAAAAUGUUCACCGAUUCAAAAAAACAUGUAUUAGAAAAAUAAUCAUGCAUUUCGAAAAUGUUCAUCAAAACAAAAAAAAAA